Molecule: ribosomal RNA, 850 nt
Filed under: uncultured bacterium
Lineage: Bacteria
Description: bacterial SSU rRNA
Rfam family: Bacterial small subunit ribosomal RNA
Source: RNAcentral
CAGUCGAGGGGUAUAGGUUUUCGGACCUAGAGACCGGCGCACGGGUGCGUAACGCGUAUGCAAUCUACCUUUUACAGAGGGAUAGCCCAGAGAAAUUUGGAUUAAUACCUCAUAGUAUUAUUGAAUGGCAUCAUUUGAUAAUUAAAGUCACAACGGUAAAAGAUGAGCAUGCGUCCCAUUAGCUUGUUGGUAAGGUAACGGCUUACCAAGGCAACGAUGGGUAGGGGUCCUGAGAGGGAGAUCCCCCACACUGGUACUGAGACACGGACCAGACUCCUACGGGAGGCAGCAGUGAGGAAUAUUGGUCAAUGGGCGCAAGCCUGAACCAGCCAUGCCGCGUGCAGGAUGAAGCAUCUAUGGUGUGUAAACUGCUUUUGUACGAGAAGAAACACUCCUACGUGUAGGAGCUUGACGGUAUCGUAAGAAUAAGGACCGGCUAACUCCGUGCCAGCAGCCGCGGUAAUACGGAGGGUCCAAGCGUUAUCCGGAAUCAUUGGGUUUAAAGGGUCCGUAGGCGGUUUUGUAAGUCAGUGGUGAAAGCCCAUCGCUCAACGGUGGAACGGCCAUUGAUACUGCAAGACUUGAAUUAUUGGGAAGUAACUAGAAUAUGUAGUGUAGCGGUGAAAUGCUUAGAGAUUACAUGGAAUACCAAUUGCGAAGGCAGGUUACUACCAAUAUAUUGACGCUGAUGGACGAAAGCGUGGGGAGCGAACAGGAUUAGAUACCCUGGUAGUCCACGCCGUAAACCGAUGGAUACUAGCUGUUCGGAGCAAUCUGAGUGGCUAAGCGAAAGUGAUAAGUAUCCCCCCUGGGGAGUACGUUCGCAAGAAUGAAACUCAAAGGAAUUGAC